AGUUGGCAAAUAUGGAGAAGGGUCUACCACAAGAAAAAGCGGCACCUCUCUUGGACAAGCUUGUGUUUCACAAGAUAAAACAGGCACUAGGAGGACGAGUUUGUAUAAUGUUGUCUGGUGCUGCGCCUUUGCCCAGGCAUGUGGAGGAAUUUUUGAGGGUCACCAGCUGCAGCACUUUAUCACAAGGAUAUGGUAUGGUUGACCGAAAACACUUUAUCACAGGAAAAAGAAUAAAUUUAAACUCUCCCAAGGUGAAUAUGUUGCUGUGGAAAGCAUUGAAACCAGAUACUUGCAAUGCCCCCUUAUCACAUCGAUAUGGGUUUAUGAGAACAGCUUCGAGUCAUUUCUUGUUGCUGACAAAAAGGCCUUGGAGCCUUGGAGGACUGGGCAGCUGAGCAUCAUUUGACUGAUGACUACAAAUCAUUGUGUCAAAAUCCGAAGGCAAGAAAAUUCAUUUUGGAUGAGCUCAAUAGUAUGGGUCAGAAACAGCAACUUCAAGGGUUUGAGUUGUUAAAAGCAGUUCAUUUGGAACCAAACCCCUCAUGACUCCAACUUUCAAAUUGAAAAGACCGCAAUUACUCAAAUAUUACAAGGACCAAGUUGAAAAACUUUAUAGUGAAGCAAAGGGUGGAAAAGUAUAAGAACAGAGCUGCAAGCAACUAUUGGAUAAAUCUCGCUACAUCACUUUCCCAAAAUUUCGAUUGCCUGCUCUUUCGUUGAUGAAAAACUACAUAUGACUGUAAAAGAAUAUAUAGCCGGGAUUUACCCAUAUUGACCUUUGUUCUAA
Long non-coding RNA from Rosa rugosa (rugosa rose), 787 nucleotides. RefSeq lists it as uncharacterized. The transcript is spliced from 5 exons. NCBI's taxonomy places the organism in Eukaryota, Viridiplantae, Streptophyta, Magnoliopsida, Rosales, Rosaceae. The record is from RefSeq and is a predicted model, not a curated record.